UAGGGAAUCUUCGGCAAUGGACGAAAGUCUGACAGAGCAACGCCGCGUGAGUGAAGAAGGUUUUCGGAUCGUAAAACUCUGUUGUUAGAGAAGAACAAGGACGUCAGUAACUGAACGUCCCCUGACGGUAUCUAACCAGAAAGCCACGGCUAACUACGUGCCAGCAGCCGCGGUAAUACGUAGGUGGCAAGCGUUGUCCGGAUUUAUUGGGCGUAAAGCGAGCGCAGGCGGUUUCUUAAGUCUGAUGUGAAAGCCCCCGGCUCAACCGGGGAGGGUCAUUGGAAACUGGGAGACUUGAGUGCAGAAGAGGAGAGUGGAAUUCCAUGUGUAGCGGUGAAAUGCGUAGAUAUAUGGAGGAACACCAGUGGCGAAGGCGGCUCUCUGGUCUGUAACUGACGCUGAGGCGCGAAAGCGUGGGGAGCAAACAGG
This 429-nucleotide ribosomal RNA is filed under the name Gemmatimonadota bacterium. RNAcentral's name for it is "Gemmatimonadetes bacterium partial 16S ribosomal RNA". It matches the Rfam family "Bacterial small subunit ribosomal RNA", at positions 355 to 776 of the family's 1533-position model. Lineage: Bacteria; Pseudomonadati; Gemmatimonadota. The record is from RNAcentral.